GUGUUACUUCCUCCAUUCCAUAAUUCUUGUCGAAAUAUUACAUGUAUCUAGAUGCUUUUUUGGAAUAGAUACAUCUAUUUUUGGGCAAAUUUGAGACAAGAAUUAUGGAACGGAGGUAGUACUUA
This is a non-coding RNA of Brachypodium distachyon (stiff brome), 125 nucleotides long. Lineage: Eukaryota; Viridiplantae; Streptophyta; Magnoliopsida; Poales; Poaceae. The record is from Rfam.